AUGGCUCAGCGUCUGUCUGCUCUUGGAUCCUUUGGAGGCCUGCUAGAUUUCAGACGCUCAGGUUUGGCCAGUGCACUCCCAACCCCUGAAGUUAAGCAAGGUAGAUGAAUUAUUAAACCACACCGGGCCAUUAGCAUAUUGGGCCUUACCUCUCUGGGGUCCCUGCCCUUGAGCAACUAAAUGCUUUAUUGAAGAGGCAAAAAACAUGCACGAAAAAGAGGUGGCGGUAGCAGCUGGAAUGGGCCCGGGAGUCCUCUCAGAAAAGGCUUUCCGCUGUCAUGGUGAAUUACACGCUAGGUUCGCUGUGAAAGCUGGCAGAGAAUGGCUAAACAGCAUAGAUAAGCCGUCUUGUUGA
This 355-nucleotide long non-coding RNA is filed under the name Ursus maritimus (polar bear). RNAcentral describes it as "lncRNA (ENSUMAG00000022348.1)". The record is from RNAcentral. Lineage: Eukaryota; Metazoa; Chordata; Mammalia; Carnivora; Ursidae.